GACGAACGCUGGCGGCGGGCUUAACACAUGCAAGUCGAACGGAAAGGCCGUGCUUUUGUGGGGUGCUCGAGUGGCGAACGGGUGAGUAACACGUGAGUAACCUGCCCUUGACUGUGGGAUAACUUCAGGAAACUGGGGCUAAUACCGGAUAGGAGCGCCUGCUGCAUGGUGGGGGUUGGAAAGCUUCGGCGGUUGGGGAUGGACGCGCGGCUUAUCAGCUUGUUGGUGGGGUAGUGGCUUACCAAGGCUUUGACGGGUAGCCGGCCUGGGAGGGUGACCGGCCACAUUGGGCCUGCGAUACGCACCAGACUCCUACGGUAGGCAGCAGUGGGAAAUAUUGCACAAUGGGCGGAAGCCUGAUGCAGCAACGCCGCGUGCGGGAUGACGGCCUUCGGGUUGUAAACCGCUUUCGCCUGUGACGAAGCGUGAGUGACGGUAAUGGGUAAAGAAGCACCGGCUAACUACGUG
This 468-nucleotide ribosomal RNA is filed under the name uncultured bacterium. Its description in RNAcentral is "partial 16S ribosomal RNA". It matches the Rfam family "Bacterial small subunit ribosomal RNA", at positions 28 to 507 of the family's 1533-position model. The record is from RNAcentral.